UAUGGCCACAUCAUGUUCAAAUACCUAUUCCCGUACUAUCACCGAAGUUAAGCAACGUCGAGCCUGGUCAGUACCUAGAUGGGUGACCGCUUGGGAAUACCAGGUGCUGUAAG
Molecule: non-coding RNA, 113 nt
Organism: Acanthosepion pharaonis
Lineage: Eukaryota; Metazoa; Mollusca; Cephalopoda; Sepiida; Sepiidae
Source: the annotation of a GenBank genome assembly